AAAUUGAAGAGUUUGAUCAUGGCUCAGAUUGAACGCUGGCGGCAGGCCUAACACAUGCAAGUCGAACGGUAACAGGAAACAGCUUGCUGUUUCGCUGACGAGUGGCGGACGGGUGAGUAAUGUCUGGGAAACUGCCUGAUGGUAUUGGAUUGGAAACGAAGCACACUGCAUAACGUCGCAAGACCAAAGAGGGGGACCUUCGGGCCUCUUGCCAUCGGAUGUGCCCAGAUGGGAUUAGCUAGUAGGUGGGGUAACGGCUCACCUAGGCGACGAUCCCUAGCUGGUCUGAGAGGAUGACCAGCCACACUGGAACUGAGACACGGUCCAGACUCCUACGGGAGGCAGCAGUGGGGAAUAUUGCACAAUGGGCGCAAGCCUGAUGCAGCCAUGCCGCGUGUAUGAAGAAGGCCUUCGGGUUGUAAAGUACUUUCAGCGGGGAGGAAGGGAGUAAAGUUAAUACCUUUGCUCAUUGACGUUACCCGCAGAAGAAGCACCGGCUAACUCCGUGCCAGCAGCCGCGGUAAUACGGAGGGUGCAAGCGUUAAUCGGAAUGGGCGUAAGCGUACCGCGAAGGCCUUUCGCGGGUCGAUAAAAUCCUGCCUAACCCGGGAACUGCAUCUGGAUAAUUGGCGCCGGACCCGUAGAGGUAGAAUCUGCGUAGCGGUGAAAUGCGUAGAGAUCUGGAGGAAUACCGGUGGCGAAGGCGGCCCCCUGGACGAAGACUGACGCUCAGGUGCGAAAGCGUGGGGAGCAAACAGGAUUAGAUACCCUGGUAGUCCACGCCGUAAACGAUGUCGACUUGGAGGUUGUGCCCUUGAGGCGUGGCUUCCGGAGCUAACGCGUUAAGUCGACCGCCUGGGGAGUACGGCCGCAAGGUUAAAACUCAAAUGAAUUGACGGGGGCCCGCACAAGCGGUGGAGCAUGUGGUUUAAUUCGAUGCAACGCGAAGAACCUUACCUGGUCUUGACAUCCACAGAACUUUCCAGAGAUGGAUUGGUGCCUUCGGGAACUGUGAGACAGGUGCUGCAUGGCUGUCGUCAGCUCGUGUUGUGAAAUGUUGGGUUAAGUCCCGCAACGAGCGCAACCCUUAUCCUUUGUUGCCAGCGGUCCGGCCGGGAACUCAAAGGAGACUGCCAGUGAUAAACUGGAGGAAGGUGGGGAUGACGUCAAGUCAUCAUGGCCCUUACGACCAGGGCUACACACGUGCUACAAUGGCGCAUACAAAGAGAAGCGACCUCGCGAGAGCAAGCGGACCUCAUAAAGUGCGUCGUAGUCCGGAUUGGAGUCUGCAACUCGACUCCAUGAAGUCGGAAUCGCUAGUAAUCGUGGAUCAGAAUGCCACGGUGAAUACGUUCCCGGGCCUUGUACACACCGCCCGUCACACCAUGGGAGUGGGUUGCAAAAGAAGUAGGUAGCUUAACCUUCGGGAGGGCGCUUACCACUUUGUGAUUCAUGACUGGGGUGAAGUCGUAACAAGGUAACCGUAGGGGAACCUGCGGUUGGAUCACCUCCUUACCUUAAAGAAGC
RNAcentral lists this ribosomal RNA (1527 nucleotides) under Escherichia coli. RNAcentral's name for it is "bacterial SSU rRNA". It matches the Rfam family "Bacterial small subunit ribosomal RNA". The record is from RNAcentral. Lineage: Bacteria; Pseudomonadati; Pseudomonadota; Gammaproteobacteria; Enterobacterales; Enterobacteriaceae.